AACGAACGCUGGCGGCAUGCCUAACACAUGCAAGUCGAACGAGACCUUCGGGUCUAGUGGCGCACGGGUGCGUAACGCGUGGGAACCUGCCCUUAGGUUCGGAAUAACUCCCCGAAAGGGGUGCUAAUACCGGAUAAUGUCUUCGGACCAAAGAUUUAUCGCCUUUGGAUGGGCCCGCGUUGGAUUAGCUAGUUGGUAGGGUAAAAGCCUACCAAGGCGACGAUCCAUAGCUGGUCUGAGAGGAUGAUCAGCCACACUGGGACUGAGACACGGCCCAGACUCCUACGGGAGGAAGCAGUGGGGAAUAUUGGACAAUGGGCGAAAGCCUGAUCCAGCAAUGCCGCGUGAGUGAUGAAGGCCUUAGGGUUGUAAAGCUCUUUUACCCGGGAUGAUAAUGGCAGUACCGGGAGAAUAAGCUCCGGCUAACUCCGUG
This 433-nucleotide ribosomal RNA is filed under the name uncultured bacterium. RNAcentral describes it as "partial 16S ribosomal RNA". It matches the Rfam family "Bacterial small subunit ribosomal RNA", at positions 29 to 507 of the family's 1533-position model. The record is from RNAcentral.